Molecule: long non-coding RNA, 540 nt
Filed under: Numida meleagris (helmeted guineafowl)
Lineage: Eukaryota; Metazoa; Chordata; Aves; Galliformes; Numididae
Description: lncRNA (ENSNMEG00000008540.1)
Source: RNAcentral
GUGCUUCUGUGAAAUGUAUUCAGUUACUGAAUAUUGCAACAGGAACACACCAUUUGGCUCAGCACUCUGAGGCUGUAACGUGGCAGUAAAUCACAUGAGCAGGACCCACCUUUCUUCUAUACUCCACAUGGCCUGACUCCCUGUUUGCGCUGUCCUUUGUGUGUACACUUCUGAGGAAAAGGGUUCUUGUACACUCUCUAUGGAGCACCCAGACCAAAGGGGUCCUGAUUCUAGGUGAGCCCUCUGUGAGUCCUUCUCCUACAAACACAGGAGUACACAUUUGGGAAGUCUGAAGGAGGUGACAUUUGUAUUAUCAUACACGCUGCCUUCGAGGCUUUGCAUCAAAAUAAUGCACAGCAGGCAUUGAACUGCUCUCAUGAGGCUUUGCAAGAAAGAGUGGAAUGGAUGUUCAUCAAGCCAGCAAGGGAGAAAGGCAGAUCCCACAAGUGCAAUGUCCUGUGGUGCACUUUCCAGACUAACCCAGUCUUCUUCCAUCAAACCAUGAAGCACUUCGGGUAGUGGUCUUUUUACUGACUUUGA